UUCCCCUUGGAUUAAUAAAAUAAUUAAUUUGGAUAACUCAAGCACUAUUCUAAUUUUUUUUGCUUAUUUAAUUCUAUCAUAACCCUAUAAAGAAAAUGCUAGUGUUGUUCCUAUUUUAAAGAUGAGGAAAGUGAGACAAAGAGAGGCUAUAUUACUUCCCCAGCACCACACAAAGUAGGGAGGGCUAGAGCUAGUGUUGUAAUCUGGAAACUCUCACACCCUGACAUUUGGUUUCUCUGGGAUUAAGCCAAGCAGAGAAGGAAGCCCUGUUUUGCUUGGAUUGGCCUUUGGGGGCCCCUGUGUGAACUCCCACUCACUCCAUCUUAACAUCCUCCUUUCCCUUCACUUCCCAGUGUUGAGAUUCUGCUUACUUUCCCCAUCAAAACGACACCACUCCUGUGCCCUCGCACAUCCACUCAUCUGCUACUUCUUUCCUGGAAGGCUGUCCCUUGUACCUCUAUUCCAAUUGAAAUAUCACCUUGUUUUCCUUCCAAAAUCAUCCCCAGUUCAUCCACCUCAGGAAAUUGUCCUGGUCUGACCUAGUCCUGCUCAUCUCCUGAUUCAGAUUAAUCUGUGGUUCUCCUGGAUGGUGGGGGUCAGACUGGUGGGGAACCAACUGAGCUUCUAGGGGGAAGGCCUAGAAAUCAUGGAGACCACACUUCAGAGAGAAUCUUGCUCCAAGGUAAGCCAUGCCUCCUAAAGUAUGCCCCAGAAAUCUACUUCUUUCUGUUACCUCUUUCAUUCUAUGAAUGUGAAUCUUCUAUGAGCAUGAUAGAAAUGCUAAUAAGGUAAGACGCAGCGUUUUCCCUCUACAUACUUGCAGUUUAGGGGUGAUAGUGUUGGUACAUGACAGUACAAGAAAGCAAGUCACCAGGAUUUCAAUGAACAUGAUCUUAGAUGCUCAAGGUCCUGAUAUGGGAGAGGUCACCUAGGUUGGGACAGGAAAUAAAGGUCAAUUGGGAUAGGGAGCAUUUGAUAGAGUUUGACUUUGAAAGAUGUGUUCAUUGUGAAACUAAAGUUUCAAAGCUGAGAGACAGAAUGGUUACAGAAAUUCAGAAGGAAUUCUGGAAUUGUAUAAAGCAAUGGCGGGGGAUGGGGGCAGUAAACCUGCGAAAUAAGGUUGGAAAUGUAAAUUGUGCUCCAACCCAUAUUAAAGAGCACGCUUAAGAAUGAAUCUUGAGAGCUGGGGAUGUACCUCAGUGGUAGAGGGCUGGCUUUGCACGCUCAAGGCCCUGGGGUUGAUCCUCUGUACUGUGCACACCCAUACACGAAAAGAUUCAUAAGUAUUAGAGAAAGAAGCCUGGAUUUUAUAGUGUAUGCAAUGCAGAGGCUUUGAAAGUUUUUAAGAUGCAGAGGGAAAAUAAUCAGAAGUGACUCCAAUAGCCAGGUAGAGAAGUCAAGGUGUUAGGCAGCUAUUGUACAGAUAAACAGGCCUCUUCAGAAAUCUGAGCAAAGGAAAGGGUGAAUGUGAGAGACAUUUCGUUGGGAGAUUAAAUGAGAUUUGCCAUCUGUUAUGGUUUGGAUAUGAGGUGUCCCUUGAAAGCUCACGUGUGAGACAGUGCAGGAAUGUUUAGAGGUGACAUAAUUAGAUUAUGAGAUCCUGUAACCUAAUCAGUGGCUCAGUCCAUUUGAUGGAUUAACGAUUUGAAGGAGCUACUGUUCUGGGAGGGCAACUGUAGGCAGGUAGGGUGUGGCUAGAGGAAGUAGGUCACUGGAGGCAUGCCUUUGUGGUUUAUAUUUUGUCCCUGGCUCCUCACUUCCUUUCUUCUCUGCUUCCUGGCCGCUGUGAACUGAGGGACUAUCCUUUGCCACCCCCUUCUGCCACAAUGUUCUGCCUCACCCUGGGUUCAGAGUAAUGGAGUCCGCCAGCCACAGACUGAACCUCUGAAACUGUCCUGGAAGAAAGAUAUGAAUUCCAUUUUAGGUCUGAGCGACUGGAGCAUGUGUGUGACCGUUGGAAGGAGCAAACUUUAGAAAUGAAGGUGAAGAUACACAGAAAGAGCGGGGACAAUUGAAGGAAUAAAGUUCCUGGUUCCUGAAGAGGCAAGGGGGUGUGGGUUUGGAUAAGAUCCAGAGCAAAGGAGGAGGGGCAGCUGUUUCUCCAAGGGACCCGGGAAAGGAUGAGGCCAUUGACAAGAUAAUAGUUGUGAGAGUGGAGAAAGAAGGGAGAAAGGAAAUGAAAUCGAUCUUCGGAGGCUAACAGGAGCUAAUUGGGUGAAAUCACAUUACAACUUUUUGACCCAGCAUUAUUGUGAUGGAAAUCGCUAUACAACAAAAGCUUCCCAAGCUCUGGCUAUUGGCCCACGUAUGACAAAGCCAAAUGCUGUUCAAAGAAUGUUGAUAGUUCUUGGAAACGGUGUCAAUGAGACAUUGCCAACAAUGGAAAAGUUCUUCAAAAGGAAGGCACAAAUGCGUUCCAAAUAGAAGCUGGUGUCAUAAUUAUUAUUUAGAUAGACACCCUUAACCCUGUGUCUCCUGAUUCUUGCUCCGCCUGACUCAUUUAAACAACCAUAGUUAAGCAUGUUAUCAGAAAGGCCAGUUGGGCAGUCUGACGAGUCAUGGAUGGUCAAUGGACACACUGUAGCUACUCCCUGGCCUUAAUGGUUCUUAGUUAAAGUCUGGAAUUGAAUACCGAGAAAUGAAUUCAGAACAACUCAAGGACUUCUCAAUUUAUAUUGGUUUCUCUCCCAAAGAGUUAGAGGGUUUCUGUGUCCUCCUGAAAACUUCAUCCCUUCUAGGCCAGAGGGUGAAGUUAGUCUGCCUUUGGCACCCUCAGACAUUCUCUUUCAUUCUUUAUCCUUUCAUGACAACUAGAGUCUCCUUUUCUUCUUGAGGCACGCCACCUCCUGAUCUCUAUCUUUUACCUGGCAUGAAAACUCACCUUCAGCCUGGAAUCUGAAAUUAUAUUAGUACACCUUUAAGAAACUGUGUUUAUUCUCCAAGGGGUGUUGUUACACAAAGUCUUCCCUUUUAAUUGUGUUACAGGCUUUGAUCCCUGUUAGAAGAACUUAGGUAUUCAGAAGCAGGAAAGGGUUUGGGAGACAAAAUUUUCUUAGUACAUGAGAAUCUCCUCUAAUAAUUUUUAGGACUGUUUCUGCCUAGAACUAUGGCUUCUACCUGUGAGGGAGUAAAUGGGGUCAUCCUCACCCAGGCAAAAAUCAUGAAGACUCAGCAUCUCUGACCACGGAUCCUUCCUUCAUACAGUCCUUUUCCAACCUCCCCAAUCUUCUAGAAGCAGGUCAGGGUACCCAGGUGCUUUCCUGGAAUAACAUCCCAGAAAUGACCAAAACCUUUGAAGAUUUCUUCUUCUGGCUCCCUGCUAGUUUUACUUCUUUAGAGUUCUUCAUUGAUGUAAAAUGGAUGUAAUGUAGCAUAAAUCCAUGGAGAUAAAAUUAUGUUAGAAAUACAUGCUUAUUUUAUUGGCUUCUCCUAUACCCAAAUGACCAUACUUUUCUCCCGUCCUCCUGUUGAAGCCAGUGGCUGUUGGUCCUGGCUUUUUAAAUUGUACCUGAGCACCUUUGGAUGCCUGUAAUUCAGGUGUUGACGUGGUGGUUUUGUGCAGAUCAUUCAAGCUUCAUCUUCAGGCAAACAACUGUGUCUUGGAAAAGUUCUGUUUCUCUAACCUUGUUCCAUGCAUGCUUCUAUGUCAAGGAAUGAAAAAUUAGAGCUGACACUGUGUGGAUUAUUUAUAUGGAUGAAAUCCCACCAGGCUUCUCAUGAUGUACUACAAGCACUUGCUAUUCUGCUCCUCUGGCUCUAGGAAAACCAAUUGCAGUUGACACGGUAAUCAGUUGCCCCUGAGAACAUGGUUCCUUUAAUUUUUUUUUUCAGAGCCUGUAGUGGAAAGUCUAUGGAGCCUUGAGCACAGGGUCCAGCCCCUGAAAUGUUGCUACUCUCCGUCCCUAAGACAAACACUAAAAUCAACAUCCGAAGUGGAGUCGUGGUUAGACUGAAGCUUUAGUUUACCCCCAAAUAGGACUUUUUCUCUGUCCUUCAAGGGGACUUUAGCAGUAAGACAGCCAAAAAUAAUGGAGAGCCUGCCCCCAAAAGUGGAGCCUUAGGAAAAGAA
This is a long non-coding RNA of Marmota monax (woodchuck), 4069 nucleotides long. RefSeq lists it as uncharacterized. Lineage: Eukaryota; Metazoa; Chordata; Mammalia; Rodentia; Sciuridae. The transcript has 3 exons. The record is from RefSeq and is a predicted model, not a curated record.